UACGUAGGGUGCAAGCGUUAAUCGGAAUUACUGGGCGUAAAGCGUGCGCAGGCGGUUUUGUAAGACAGAGGUGAAAUCCCCGGGCUCAACCUGGGAACUGCCUUUGAGACUGCAAGGCUUGAGUGCGGCAGAGGGGGAUGGAAUUCCGCGUGUAGCAGUGAAAUGCGUAGAUAUGCGGAGGAACACCGAUGGCGAAGGCAAUCCCCUGGGCCUGCACUGACGCUCAUGCACGAAAGCGUGGGGAGCAAACAGG
Molecule: ribosomal RNA, 253 nt
Filed under: uncultured bacterium
Lineage: Bacteria
Description: partial 16S ribosomal RNA
Rfam family: Bacterial small subunit ribosomal RNA
Source: RNAcentral